This 754-nucleotide ribosomal RNA is filed under the name uncultured bacterium. Its description in RNAcentral is "bacterial SSU rRNA". It matches the Rfam family "Bacterial small subunit ribosomal RNA", at positions 117 to 889 of the family's 1533-position model. The record is from RNAcentral.
GUGGAUAACCUGCCGUAUGCAGGGGGAUAACAGUUGGAAACAGCUGCUAAUACCGCAUAAGCGCACAAUACCGCAUGGUACUGUGUGAAAAGAUUUAUCGGCAUACGAUGGAUCCGCGUCCGAUUAGCCAGUUGGCGGGGUAACGGCCCACCAAAGCGACGAUCGGUAGCCGGCCUGAGAGGGCGGACGGCCACAUUGGGACUGAGACACGGCCCAAACUCCUACGGGAGGCAGCAGUGGGGAAUAUUGCACAAUGGGGGAAACCCUGAUGCAGCGACGCCGCGUGAGUGAAGAAAUAUCUCGGUAUGUAAAGCUCUAUCAGCAGGGAAGAAAAUGACGGUACCUGACUAAGAAGCCCCGGCUAACUACGUGCCAGCAGCCGCGGUAAUACGUAGGGGGCAAGCGUUAUCCGGAUUUACUGGGUGUAAAGGGAGCGUAGACGGCGCUGCAAGUCCGGAGUGAAAGCCCAUGGCUUAACCAUGGUACUGCUCUGGAAACUGUGGAGCUUGAGUGCGGGAGGGGCAGGCGGAAUUCCUAGUGUAGCGGUGAAAUGCGUAGAUAUUAGGAGGAACACCGGCGGCGAAGGCGGCCUGCUGGACCGUAACUGACGUUGAGGCUCGAAAGCGUGGGGAGCAAACAGGAUUAGAUACCCUGGUAGUCCACGCCGUAAACGAUGAUUACCAGGUGUCGCGGUACGAAGUACUGCGGUGCCGGCGCAAACGCAAUAAGUAAUCCACCUGGGGAGUACGUUCGC